UACGUAGGGGGCAAGCGUUGUCCGGAAUUAUUGGGCGUAAAGAGCUCGUAGGCGGUUUGUCGCGUCUGCCGUGAAAGUCCGGGGCUCAACUCCGGAUCUGCGGUGGGUACGGGCAGACUAGAGUGAUGUAGGGGAGACUGGAAUUCCCGGUGUAGAGGUGAAAUUCGUAGAUAUCGGGAGGAACACCAGUGGCGAAGGCGGCGAUCUGGGAAGAUACUGACGCUGAGGUGCGAAAGCGUGGGGAGCAAACAGG
This 253-nucleotide ribosomal RNA is filed under the name uncultured bacterium. RNAcentral's name for it is "partial 16S ribosomal RNA". It matches the Rfam family "Bacterial small subunit ribosomal RNA", at positions 524 to 776 of the family's 1533-position model. The record is from RNAcentral.